CCGGCGAGAAGCCGUAUCGUUGCCAGUUGAGUGCGUCACAGCGAUACGGCUUUUCGCUUG
RNAcentral lists this microRNA precursor (60 nucleotides) under Plutella xylostella (diamondback moth). Its description in RNAcentral is "microRNA pxy-mir-8514 precursor". Lineage: Eukaryota; Metazoa; Arthropoda; Insecta; Lepidoptera; Plutellidae. The record is from miRBase by way of RNAcentral.